Long non-coding RNA from Canis lupus familiaris (dog), 1655 nucleotides. RefSeq lists it as uncharacterized. The record is from RefSeq and is a predicted model, not a curated record. The transcript has 7 exons. Lineage: Eukaryota; Metazoa; Chordata; Mammalia; Carnivora; Canidae.
CCAGAACCCAGUGGCUUAUUCAACAACUCCACCUGGAUCUCUAAUUAGCAUCUCAAUAAGCUUGGAAAUCAAAUUCCUUGCAUUUUUUUGCCGCUUAGGAGCCCAGAGGCUGGAAAUAGAAAUUAGAUUCAGAUACAAAAAUAUCAGAUUUACAUUUCUUGCACUCCUGAGUUCGUAGACUUGCCCUGUUCACACAAAAUAGUGCACGGUCCUGUGAAGCAGCAAUGUGUUCUUACAUGCAAUAUGCCUUCCUUAUUUUGGCCCUUUCUGGAGCUACCAGCAGCAUUGUGUAGAAGAGGAAACGGGGAGCUGCUGCGGCUCGCUGACCUGGUGGCUGGCCCGCGGUGGGGAGGUGGGGUGAGCCACCUACUGAUGACAGCCACAGAUGGCAGAUUCAACAGACUACUUUGAUGAUGCUGCCCUCACAAGUGGCAUCCUGAGAUUGUGGCCCUGGAAGUCAUCCUUCAUGCCUCGGGGUCUCAGGGUCAUCUCUGUUCCUACUGGCAGGGGAAGAAUUGUCACAGCUAGAAGAUGUGCUACUAGCAUCUAAUGGUUGAGGCCAGUGAUGCUGCUUGACAUCCUGCACUACAUGGACAGCCCCCAACAAAGAAUCAGCAGAUCCUAAAUGUCAGUGUGCUGAGGCUGACAGAUGCUGCCUUACUCAGAGAGACCAGGUAAAGUGAUGCAUCGGUUAGGUUUGGGUUGUAGGCAACAGAAACGAACUCCGGCUUGUCUGAGCAAGAAGGUGCAGCGGUGGGUUGAGAAAUGUGCCUCCCCACCCAGAUGCCCCUCCUCUAACCUCCAAAAUGGGGGAGGAUGGCACCCCUGUGACUCACACCAUUACCUAAGACAAAAGGUCACUAUUGGAAGAAGAGAGAUGAAGAGCUUCCCACACAGGGAACAAGAGCAACAGUGGAUGCCUGUCACAGGAUCAGAUUCCUGGCGCCGGGGCUGCAAUCUGGCGGCUCCCACACUGGCCAUUACAGAUGCUAAGAAUACCACAGAAAUUCCCCAAGUCCAUUUUCAGCUUCAUUACAGGAGAUAAGAAUAAAUGCUGGAUAACUUGGAGAACUUGGGCUGCUUGCUACUGCCACACAUUCUACUUGCUCCUGACCGACGCAAAGGGAGACUGUCUGCUGAAACAGCAGGAGGAAGAGCCUAUGAUGGUUUUUUUUCUCUUUUGUAAAAGAGAGACAACAAAGGCUCAGCACUUCGAAAUCUCAAAUCUCCUCCAAUCCAGAUUCCUGAUUUCACUCCCCAGAGGCCUCUGCCAUCAGGAACUCGAUGCACAUCUUUGCAGUUUGUGAUUUUAGACUUUUAUCACAUUCCCACAUAGGUAAAGAAACUCCAGCAUUGUUCCCUCCAUUUGUUUUUUACAAACAUAUGUUGUAUACGAUUUACACCAGCAGGUCAUAUUGCGCUUCCAUCCGUCUGCUUACUUCUUUUUUCACUCGCCGUUACGUCUCUCUGAUCUGUCCGCAUCCACCUGGCUGAAGCACAGAUCUACACUGAGACCACAUCAAUCCGCUGAUCUAAUUCCAUCUGUCUCAAAGAGCAGCUAGGUGUCCAUCAUAUGGCUUGUCCAUGUUUUACUCUUCUGUUCACCCUCUGAUGGAAGUUCAGGGGGUUUCAGACUCUGCCAUUACAAAGACCUC